CUGGGCUACACACGUGCUACAAUGGCCGGUACAGACGGACGCAAAGCCGCGAGGUGGAGCAAACUACCUAAAAGCCGUCUCAGUUCGGAUUGCAGGCUGCAAUUCGCCUGCAUGAAGUCGGAAUCGCUAGUAAUCGCAGGUCAGCAUACUGCGGUGAAUUACGUUCCCGGGCCUU
RNAcentral lists this ribosomal RNA (175 nucleotides) under uncultured Bacillus sp. RNAcentral describes it as "partial 16S ribosomal RNA". It matches the Rfam family "Bacterial small subunit ribosomal RNA", at positions 1209 to 1382 of the family's 1533-position model. The record is from RNAcentral. Lineage: Bacteria; Bacillati; Bacillota; Bacilli; Caryophanales; Bacillaceae.